RNAcentral lists this ribosomal RNA (402 nucleotides) under uncultured bacterium. Its description in RNAcentral is "bacterial SSU rRNA". It matches the Rfam family "Bacterial small subunit ribosomal RNA", at positions 356 to 773 of the family's 1533-position model. The record is from RNAcentral.
GGGGAAUAUUGGGCAAUGGGCGCAAGCCUGACCCAGCAACGCCGCGUGAAGGAAGAAGGCUUUCGGGUUGUAAACUUCUUUUGUCAGGGACGAGUAGAAGACGGUACCUGACGGAUAAGCCACGGCUAACUACGUGCCAGCAGCCGCGGUAAUACGUAGGUGGCAAGCGUUGUCCGGAUUUACUGGGUGUAAAGGGCGUGUAGCCGGGAAGGCAAGUCAGAUGUGAAAUCCACGGGCUCAACUCGUGAACUGCAUUUGAAACUGUUUUUCUUGAGUAUCGGAGAGGCAAUCGGAAUUCCUAGUGUAGCGGUGAAAUGCGUAGAUAUUAGGAGGAACACCAGUGGCGAAGGCGGAUUGCUGGACGACAACUGACGGUGAGGCGCGAAAGCGUGGGGAGCAAAC